UAGGGAAUCUUCCACAAUGGACGCAAGUCUGAUGGAGCAACGCCGCGUGAGUGAAGAAGGGUUUCGGCUCGUAAAGCUCUGUUGUUAAAGAAGAACGUGGGUAANAGUAACUGUUUACCCAGUGACGGUAUUUAACCAGAAAGCCACGGCUAACUACGUGCCA
This 163-nucleotide ribosomal RNA is filed under the name uncultured bacterium. RNAcentral's name for it is "partial 16S ribosomal RNA". It matches the Rfam family "Bacterial small subunit ribosomal RNA", at positions 355 to 510 of the family's 1533-position model. The record is from RNAcentral.